UACGUAGGGUGCAAGCGUUAAUCGGAGUUACUGGGCGUAAAGCGUGCGCAGGCGGCUUUGCAAGACAGAUGUGAAAUCCCCGGGCUUAACCUGGGAACUGCAUUUGUGACUGCAUGGCUAGAGUGCGGCAGAGGGGGAUGGAAUUCCGCGUGUAGCAGUGAAAUGCGUAGAUAUGCGGAGGAACACCGAUGGCGAAGGCAAUCCCCUGGGCCUGCACUGACGCUCAUGCACGAAAGCGUGGGGAGCAAACAGG
This 253-nucleotide ribosomal RNA is filed under the name uncultured bacterium. RNAcentral's name for it is "partial 16S ribosomal RNA". It matches the Rfam family "Bacterial small subunit ribosomal RNA", at positions 524 to 776 of the family's 1533-position model. The record is from RNAcentral.